UGCAGUCGAGGGGUAACAGGGAUUGCUUGCAAUCCGCUGACGACCGGCGCACGGGUGCGUAACGCGUAUGCAACCUACCUUCUACAGGGGGAUAGUCAAUAGAAAUGUUGAAUAAUACCCCAUACGAUCUUUGAAUAGCAUUAUUUAAAGAAGAAAGUUCCGGCGGUAGAAGAUGGGCAUGCGUCCUAUUAGUUAGUUGGAGAGGUAACGGCUCCCCAAGACAUCGAUAGGUAGGGGCCCUGAGAGGGAGACCCCCCACACUGGUACUGAGACACGGACCAGACUCCUACGGGAGGCAGCAGUGAGGAAUAUUGGACAAUGGAGGCAACUCUGAUCCAGCCAUGCCGCGUGCAGGAAGACUGCCCUAUGGGUUGUAAACUGCUUUUAUACAGGAAGAAAUGUACCUACGUGUAGGUAUUUGACGGUACUGUACGAAUAAGGAUCGGCUAACUCCGUGCCAGCAGCCGCGGUAAUACGGAGGAUCCAAGCGUUAUCCGGAAUCAUUGGGUUUAAAGGGUCCGUAGGCGGUCUUUUAAGUCAGAGGUGAAAUCCUACAGCUCAACUGUAGAAUUGCCUUUGAUACUGAAGGACUUGAGUUAUUGUGAAGUAGUUAGAAUGUGUGGUGUAGCGGUGAAAUGCAUAGAGAUCACACAGAAUACCGAUUG
This 665-nucleotide ribosomal RNA is filed under the name uncultured bacterium. RNAcentral's name for it is "bacterial SSU rRNA". It matches the Rfam family "Bacterial small subunit ribosomal RNA", at positions 56 to 715 of the family's 1533-position model. The record is from RNAcentral.